AGCAGGCCAGGUGAUCGCGGCUGGACAGACGAAAGGGUUCAGACGAGGAAAGUCCGGGCUUCACAGGGCAGGAUGCCGGAUAACGUCCGGUGGAGGCGACUCCCAGACCAGUGCAACAGAAAUAAACCGCCAUGGCUUGCCAUGGUAAGGGUGGAAAGGCAGUGUAAGAGACUACCGCCGUCCUGGUAACAGGCCGGGCACAUGUAAACUCCAUUCGAAGCAAGACCGAGCAGAAAGCGAUACGGCGGCCCGUCGUGCUUUCAGGUAGGUCGCUUGAGCCUUUCGGCAACGGAAGGCCUAGACAGAUGAUCACUCAACGACAUAACCCGGCUUAUCGGUCUGCUUG
RNAcentral lists this RNase P RNA (346 nucleotides) under Blautia faecis. RNAcentral describes it as "Bacterial RNase P class A". It matches the Rfam family "Bacterial RNase P class A". Rfam says of the family: Ribonuclease P (RNase P) is a ubiquitous endoribonuclease, found in archaea, bacteria and eukarya as well as chloroplasts and mitochondria. Its best characterised activity is the generation of mature 5'-ends of tRNAs by cleaving the 5'-leader elements of precursor-tRNAs. The record is from RNAcentral. Lineage: Bacteria; Bacillati; Bacillota; Clostridia; Lachnospirales; Lachnospiraceae.